GUCAAGUUCACUGAAGUUCAUUGUAGCGGCCGUUUGUUUGUUAGUUGUUUUUUUUUACUGCCUUCUUUCAAAACGGAGUGAUUCCCUGGACGAUAAUACUAACGUUACUAAAGUAACCACAGCGGUGACAGCGGCCACGGAGGCGGAGGCACAAGGAAGGAAACCAGGAGGACAAUCAAGAGUGACGGAGGUUUGAUGGAGAGCAGGUGCGUGGACUUCGUUGACAAACGCAGACUCAGCCUGGAUCUUCAGUCCGGCGCAGCUCCACUCUUCACAGACAGAUGUCACCUGUUUUCACUGUGUGGAAAUCCCCAGCUCUCAGUGCCCUGAAAGUUCCAGAACCAGAAGUCUAGUCCUGGUCCAAAGGUCUUCUGAUACCAGGUCCGUCUGUUGACACCUGUGUUCUGACAACAACAAACCAGGUGCAGUGAACAAGUGUGUCGACAUCCUGAACACACACACACACACACACACACACACACACACGUCACUGUUUGCUGUUGUAGGAAAUGUCCUUGGCUUUUCACUGUUUUCCUGGUGAAUUCCACCCACACAGACCAGUC
Molecule: long non-coding RNA, 563 nt
Organism: Cynoglossus semilaevis (tongue sole)
Lineage: Eukaryota; Metazoa; Chordata; Actinopteri; Pleuronectiformes; Cynoglossidae
Exons: 3
Source: RefSeq, a predicted model, not a curated record